RNAcentral lists this long non-coding RNA (1133 nucleotides) under Triticum aestivum (bread wheat). RNAcentral's name for it is "long non-coding RNA (TAES_LNC004554)". Lineage: Eukaryota; Viridiplantae; Streptophyta; Magnoliopsida; Poales; Poaceae. The record is from RNAcentral.
UGGGCAAUUAAGAUAUGGAAGAUUCUAGAAAACAAAGGAGAAGUGUUUGUGUUUUGAGGUUUGUGCAUUAUGCUUAAGUUCAACCAUGGAGUCUUCUAGAUUGUACAUUUGACAGAAUCUGGUGGAAUGUAGAUGAUAUCCAACGACCAGUAAUGCUCGGAUUUGCCAUCUCUGUACCGUCGGAUUGACUUCAUCCAACGAGCAACUUUCAUAGUUAUUCGCACACUAUAUAGGUGUAUAGAUGUGUGUGUAUAUAUAUAUAUAUACUCCUAUAUAGUGUAGGAAUAAGUUUGAAUGCUAGCCGUUGAUACUGCUGCAUCCAACGGUAGAGGCAUGGGCAAAUCCCUGCAUUUUAAGCCGUAGAUACAUUGAAUCGAACAGUGCACACUCUAUUGGAGUUCAGCUCUAGAAACUUCGAUCGCACCCGCGUGCCCAGCAGCCGCUGGCCUCUGUUCUCUGAGAUGUCUGUCUCUCGCGACCCAACCCAAAGCGUCCUGGUUCUCCCCUCUUCUCUUUGACCGAGAGUCAGGUAACAUCUUUGCAGAUCCAUUCUACCUGGUCCUAAUCCAUCCCUCUGGCCAUACUGAACUUGAAAUCCAUUGAUCAGCCUACAAAACCAAGAACCUGAGCCAACUCGGUCUAUGUAAAAUUAGAACGGAUAUUAAAUUGAAAAUAGUAAACUCCGAACUUUGGAAACAAAUGAUAGAGUAACUGUAAUGAUUCAGCAUCAAAGGAACAUGCAAACUGCAUCAUGAAAGAAAAGCAUUAAGAAAAUUUUGCACGACGACGGCCUAAAGAAUAAAGCACCUUCCAAUUUCCUUCUUUAUUGCUCCAGCAAAAACUUCUAAGCCCUCGGCACCCUCGCUCCAGCGACACCAUUUCUUGUCACUCCGUGGUGCCUUGAAGCACUUAAACUCCACAUAGAGCUGCGCCAACUUCUGCCCCCUCGCUCCAACGGGUCUUUCCUCGAGAUGGACCAGGUAGAGAGGAAGAUUAGUACGACCUGUGGGAGUGUGAGGGAAACGCCCUAGCAAGAAGAUGACAGACGGAGGAAGCGAGGCAGCAGCAGGCAGAAGACUGGAGCAAGGAUGGCCGACGAGAGAAGAAGGCAAGCCAUUGAUUUUGCCUCUUCA